UACAGAGGGUGCGAGCGUUAAUCGGAAUUACUGGGCGUAAAGCGUGCGCAGGCGGGCUUUUAAGCCAGACGUGAAAUCCCCGGGCUUAACCUGGGAAUGGCGUUUGGGACUGGAAGUCUGGAGUGCGGCAGAGGAGACUGGAAUUCCUGGUGUAGCAGUGAAAUGCGUAGAUAUCAGGAGGAACACCGAUGGCGAAGGCAGGUCUCUGGGCUGACACUGACGCUCAUGCACGAAAGCGUGGGGAGCAAACAGG
RNAcentral lists this ribosomal RNA (253 nucleotides) under uncultured bacterium. RNAcentral's name for it is "partial 16S ribosomal RNA". It matches the Rfam family "Bacterial small subunit ribosomal RNA", at positions 524 to 776 of the family's 1533-position model. The record is from RNAcentral.